UACGAAGGGUGCUAGCGUUGUUCGGAAUCACUGGGCGUAAAGCGCACGUAGGCGGACCUUUAAGUCAGGGGUGAAAUCCCGGGGCUCAACCUCGGAACUGCCUUUGAUACUGGAGGUCUCGAGACCGGAAGAGGUGAGUGGAAUUCCUAGUGUAGAGGUGAAAUUCGUAGAUAUUAGGAAGAACACCAGUGGCGAAGGCGGCUCACUGGUCCGGUUCUGACGCUGAGGUGCGAAAGCGUGGGGAGCAAACAGG
This 253-nucleotide ribosomal RNA is filed under the name uncultured bacterium. RNAcentral's name for it is "partial 16S ribosomal RNA". It matches the Rfam family "Bacterial small subunit ribosomal RNA", at positions 524 to 776 of the family's 1533-position model. The record is from RNAcentral.